RNAcentral lists this ribosomal RNA (497 nucleotides) under uncultured bacterium. RNAcentral's name for it is "partial 16S ribosomal RNA". It matches the Rfam family "Bacterial small subunit ribosomal RNA", at positions 28 to 507 of the family's 1533-position model. The record is from RNAcentral.
GAUGAACGCUGGCGGCGUGCCUAAUACAUGCAAGUCGAGCGAACGGACGAGAAGCUUGCUUCUCUGAUGUUAGCGGCGGACGGGUGAGUAACACGUGGAUAACCUACCUAUCAGACUGGGAUAACUUCGGGAAACCGGAGCUAAUACCGGAUAAUAUUUUGAACCGCAUGGUUCAAAAGUGAAAGACGGUCUUGCUGUCACUUAUAGAUGGAUCCGCGCUGCAUUAGCUAGUUGGUAAGGUAACGGCUUACCAAGGCAACGAUGCAUAGCCGACCUGAGAGGGGGAUCGGCCACCCUGGAACUGAGACAGGGUCCAGACUCCUACGGGAGGCAGCAGUAGGGAAUCUUCCGCAAUGGGCGAAAGCCUGACGGAGCAACGCCGCGUGAGUGAUGAAGGUCCUCGGAUCGUAAAACUCUGUUAUUAGGGAAGAACAUAUGUGUAAGUAACUGUGCACAUCUUGACGGUACCUAAUCAGAAAGCCACGGCUAACUACGUG